Long non-coding RNA from Passer domesticus (house sparrow), 682 nucleotides. RefSeq lists it as uncharacterized. The record is from RefSeq and is a predicted model, not a curated record. The transcript is spliced from 2 exons. Lineage: Eukaryota; Metazoa; Chordata; Aves; Passeriformes; Passeridae.
CUCACGCCGCCCGGCCCGGCCCGGCUCCCUCGGCGCUGCACAAGUCGAUAGGCGCGGGGAGAAGUGAAGAUGAGCCCAAGGAUUUCUGGUUGUGCUGUUUGCAUGCUCGCCAUCUUCACCAAUGGCAGCAUCUCAACCCAGUCUUGAUGCUCAAGUUCUAGAGCAUCUGCUAGACCUUCUUCCAGUCUGAAGACUGCAAAGGAAACAAAGAACAACUUUGAAAUAAACAAAUGUCCUUUGAAUUUCUCUCCCCUCAACAUGUUCAAACCUUGGGGAAUUCAAUGCAGUGAGACUAUAGCGGAAUGAAACAUACAUGCAUAUAUGUAUAUCUCUACACAUACAUACACACACACAUUUUUUCCUUGCUAUAAGCACCAUAAAAAGCAAUGUCUGUGCAGUAUGUGCACAUGAAUGCAUAAUUGUAUAUAUCAGUUUAUAUGAUUGCAUAUAAAUGCGUAUAUAAAGAAGACCCCUGUCUGCAGAGCAUGCAAUGUGUUUAUUAUUUCAGAGGCUUUCACAUCAUCUUUAAAAUCUAGCUGACUGUAGAAUGAAACCCAUCAGGGUAACGCAGAGGUAGAGACUGAAAUUAAUUUAAGGCAGACAAAAAGCAAAUACAGAGGAACUGUUACGAUUUAACUAAUUUUUAAAAGUAAGUGGACUGAAAAUAUAAAAUGUAUUUGUG